RNAcentral lists this ribosomal RNA (1362 nucleotides) under uncultured bacterium. RNAcentral describes it as "bacterial SSU rRNA". It matches the Rfam family "Bacterial small subunit ribosomal RNA", at positions 28 to 1381 of the family's 1533-position model. The record is from RNAcentral.
AUUGAACGCUUGCGGCAUGCUUUACACAUGCAAGUCGAACGGCAGCACAGAGAAGCUUGCUUCUUGGGUGGCGAGUGGCGAACGGGUGAGUAACAUAUCGGAACGUACCGAGUAAUGGGGGAUAACUAAUCGAAAGAUUAGCUAAUACCGCAUAUUCUCUGAGGAGGAAAGCAGGGGACCUUCGGGCCUUGCGUUAUUCGAGCGGCCGAUAUCUGAUUAGCUAGUUGGUGGGGUAAAGGCCUACCAAGGCGACGAUCAGUAGCGGGUCUGAGAGGAUGAUCCGCCACACUGGGACUGAGACACGGCCCAGACUCCUACGGGAGGCAGCAGUGGGGAAUUUUGGACAAUGGGCGCAAGCCUGAUCCAGCCAUGCCGCGUGUCUGAAGAAGGCCUUCGGGUUGUAAAGGACUUUUGUCAGGGAAGAAAAGGCUGUUGCUAAUAUCGACAGCUGAUGACGGUACCUGAAGAAUAAGCACCGGCUAACUACGUGCCAGCAGCCGCGGUAAUACGUAGGGUGCGAGCGUUAAUCGGAAUUACUGGGCGUAAAGCGAGCGCAGACGGUUACUUAAGCAGGAUGUGAAAUCCCCGGGCUCAACCUGGGAACUGCGUUCUGAACUGGGCGACUAGAGUGUGUCAGAGGGAGGUAGAAUUCCACGUGUAGCAGUGAAAUGCGUAGAGAUGUGGAGGAAUACCGAUGGCGAAGGCAGCCUCCUGGGAUAACACUGACGUUCAUGCUCGAAAGCGUGGGUAGCAAACAGGAUUAGAUACCCUGGUAGUCCACGCCCUAAACGAUGUCAAUUAGCUGUUGGGCAACUUGAUUGCUUAGUAGCGUAGCUAACGCGUGAAAUUGACCGCCUGGGGAGUACGGUCGCAAGAUUAAAACUCAAAGGAAUUGACGGGGACCCGCACAAGCGGUGGGUGAUGUGGAUUAAUUCGAUGCAACGCGAAGAACCUUACCUGGUCUUGACAUGUACGGAAUCCUCCAGAGACGGAGGAGUGCCUUCGGGAGCCGUAACACAGGUGCUGCAUGGCUGUCGUCAGCUCGUGUCGUGAGAUGUUGGGUUAAGUCCCGCAACGAGCGCAACCCUUGUCAUUAGUUGCCAUCAUUUAGUUGGGCACUCUAAUGAGACUGCCGGUGACAAGCCGGAGGAAGGUGGGGAUGACGUCAAGUCCUCAUGGCCCUUAUGACCAGGGCUUCACACGUCAUACAAUGGUCGGUACAGAGGGUAGCCAAGCCGCGAGGUGGAGCCAAUCUCACAAAACCGAUCGUAGUCCGGAUUGCACUCUGCAACUCGAGUGCAUGAAGUCGGAAUCGCUAGUAAUCGCAGGUCAGCAUACUGCGGUGAAUACGUUCCCGGGUCU